Molecule: ribosomal RNA, 429 nt
Filed under: uncultured bacterium
Lineage: Bacteria
Description: bacterial SSU rRNA
Rfam family: Bacterial small subunit ribosomal RNA
Source: RNAcentral
UGGGGAAUAUUGGACAAUGGGGGCAACCCUGAUCCAGCAAUGCCGCGUGUGUGAAGAAGGCCUUCGGGUUGUAAAGCACUUUAGGUGGGGAAGAAGGUUGGUAUUUUAAGAGAUAACCAAUUUGACGGUACCCGCAGAAUAAGCACCGGCUAACUCUGUGCCAGCAGCCGCGGUAAUACAGAGGGUGCAAGCGUUAAUCGGAUUUACUGGGCGUAAAGGGCGCGUAGGUGGUUACUUAAGUGAGAUGUGAAAUCCCCGGGCUUAACCUGGGAACUGCAUCUUAUACUGGGUAACUGGAGUGCAGUAGAGGGUAGUGGAAUUUCCGGUGUAGCGGUGAAAUGCGUAGAUAUCGGAAGGAACACCAGUGGCGAAGGCGGCUACCUGGACUGAGACUGACACUGAGGCGCGAGAGCGUGGGGAGCAAACAGG